RNAcentral lists this long non-coding RNA (978 nucleotides) under Bos taurus (domestic cattle). RNAcentral describes it as "long non-coding RNA NONBTAT012645". Lineage: Eukaryota; Metazoa; Chordata; Mammalia; Artiodactyla; Bovidae. The record is from RNAcentral.
GUCUGCCUCUAGGCAUAUGUUCUCCAUGUGGCAGGGCUGCACAUAAAUCCCACAACUCCAAUAAUCAUUGUCUGUGAAGGCAGGGAAUUAAACAGAAACAAACAAACACACUUAAAUCUAUUCAUAUUCAAACUGUUUUCCUGCUCUUAUUUUUAAGCCGACACAAAAUGGAGUUCACAGAUCUCAUUGGCUAUGCCCAGCAUAUUCAUUUCGUCUACUGUCUCUUAUUUCAUGGUAAUUUAUGUUGACAUGGUGAUUCGUGUUGACAGGCUUUACCAAGAUUGAAUACUUCUGAUUACCUACCUUUUUAACUAUUGUCAGACGCUAGAAAGCUUCUCUGAUCAAUGAGUGUGAAGUGGGACAACACAGUAACAUUCAUUUUGGCCCGAGAAAUGUACAAAAGGGAAUGCCAAAUAUUUCACAGCAAAUUGCCAUCUAAGAUAAAAUAUACGGAGACCAGUGGCCAUAGUGGAAUUUAUUUGUUAUUCUUUCCUAUUGUCAUUAAUAAUAAUUGAUUUAAAUAUAUCGUAACUCUACAAAUACAGAACCAAUGCAUUCUAUCUAUUUUGAUAACCUGAUAAAACACAAAAUAAUAUAUUGCUUUCAUCCUUGCUUGUUUUUUCUUUUGAAAUUGAAAAGUAAUGAGCAAGAUAUAAAGUUGGACUAUUGGCAGAGAUUUUUAUCAAAAUGACUAUUCCAUUCUGUUUUUUAUGGAUUUAUGUUAAAGAUGCAUUAUAGAUAUUUUUGGAGCAGAUGGAUCAAAGUGGGAGUUUUGUAAUGGUCAUAUAUUGCAUCAUCAAAAAUUUAGUACAUGUUUCAUAAGCAUUAGGAAUGGAGACCUUUUCUCUUUUGAAAAUAUGUGUUCACAUUGCAAAAUGUCUAACAGCAUUAUCAGAACCAAAAUCAGAGCCUGACAUGAAUGUACUAUUCCCAAUGAAAGUUGUCUCGUGUAGUAUUUUUAAAAGAUUGUAUUAGUCC